RNAcentral lists this transfer RNA (77 nucleotides) under Aestuariivirgaceae bacterium. Its description in RNAcentral is "tRNA-Arg". It matches the Rfam family "tRNA". Rfam says of the family: Transfer RNA (tRNA) molecules are approximately 80 nucleotides in length. Their secondary structure includes four short double-helical elements and three loops (D, anti-codon, and T loops). Further hydrogen bonds mediate the characteristic L-shaped molecular structure. tRNAs have two regions of fundamental functional importance: the anti-codon, which is responsible for specific mRNA codon recognition, and the 3' end, to which the tRNAs corresponding amino acid is attached (by aminoacyl-tRNA synthetases). tRNAs cope with the degeneracy of the genetic code in two manners: having more than one tRNA (with a specific anti-codon) for a particular amino acid; and 'wobble' base-pairing, i.e. permitting non-standard base-pairing at the 3rd anti-codon position. Lineage: Bacteria; Pseudomonadati; Pseudomonadota; Alphaproteobacteria; Hyphomicrobiales; Aestuariivirgaceae. The record is from RNAcentral. RNAcentral also lists the same sequence under 1 other name.
GUCCCGGUAGCUCAGCAGGAUAGAGCACAGGUUUCCUAAACCUGGGGUCAGGGGUUCGAAUCCCUUCCGGGACACCA